GUUGAAACACCACUUCCCCUACAAUCACCGAAGUUAAGCAACGUUGGGCCUGGUCAGUACCUAGGUGGGUGACCGCAAGGAAAUAAUAGGCGCUGUAAG
Non-coding RNA from Acanthosepion pharaonis, 99 nucleotides. Lineage: Eukaryota; Metazoa; Mollusca; Cephalopoda; Sepiida; Sepiidae. The record is from the annotation of a GenBank genome assembly.